Molecule: transfer RNA, 71 nt
Filed under: Loxodonta africana (African savanna elephant)
Lineage: Eukaryota; Metazoa; Chordata; Mammalia; Proboscidea; Elephantidae
Rfam family: tRNA
About the family: Transfer RNA (tRNA) molecules are approximately 80 nucleotides in length. Their secondary structure includes four short double-helical elements and three loops (D, anti-codon, and T loops). Further hydrogen bonds mediate the characteristic L-shaped molecular structure. tRNAs have two regions of fundamental functional importance: the anti-codon, which is responsible for specific mRNA codon recognition, and the 3' end, to which the tRNAs corresponding amino acid is attached (by aminoacyl-tRNA synthetases). tRNAs cope with the degeneracy of the genetic code in two manners: having more than one tRNA (with a specific anti-codon) for a particular amino acid; and 'wobble' base-pairing, i.e. permitting non-standard base-pairing at the 3rd anti-codon position.
Source: Rfam by way of RNAcentral
GCAGCGAUGGCUCAGUGGUAGAAUUCUUGCCUUCCAUACAAGAGACCUGGGUUCAAUUCCCAGCCGAGGCA